Molecule: ribosomal RNA, 258 nt
Filed under: uncultured bacterium
Lineage: Bacteria
Description: partial 16S ribosomal RNA
Rfam family: Bacterial small subunit ribosomal RNA
Source: RNAcentral
GACAGAGGUGCCGAGCGUUAGGCGGAAUCACUGGGCUUAAAGCGUGUGUAGGCGGACCGUUAAGUACCUUGUGAAAAUCCCCCCGGCUCAACCGGGGAACGGCUGGGUAUACUGGCGGUCUUGAGCCAUCCAGGGGCAGUCGGAACAGACGGUGGAGCGGUGAAAUGCGUAGAUAUCGUCUGGAACGCCGAAGGUGAAAACAGACUGCUGGGGAUGCGCUGACGCUGAGACACGAAAGCCAGGGGAGCGGAACGGGAU